UCCCUGGUGGCUCAGACGGUAAAGCAUCUGUCUGCAAUGCGGGAGACCUGGGUUCGAUUCCUGGGUUGGGAA
Molecule: transfer RNA, 72 nt
Filed under: Ovis aries (sheep)
Lineage: Eukaryota; Metazoa; Chordata; Mammalia; Artiodactyla; Bovidae
Rfam family: tRNA
About the family: Transfer RNA (tRNA) molecules are approximately 80 nucleotides in length. Their secondary structure includes four short double-helical elements and three loops (D, anti-codon, and T loops).
Source: Rfam by way of RNAcentral